UACGUAGGGUGCAAGCGUUGUCCGGAAUUAUUGGGCGUAAAGAGCUCGUAGGCGGUCUGUCGCGUCGGCUGUGAAAACUCGGGGCUCAACCCCGAGCCUGCAGUCGAUACGGGCAGACUAGAGUCCGGAAGAGGAGAGUGGAAUUCCCGGUGUAGCGGUGAAAUGCGCAGAUAUCGGGAAGAACACCUAUGGCGAAGGCAGCUCUCUGGGACGGUACUGACGCUGAGAAGCGAAAGCGUGGGGAGCGAACAGG
This 253-nucleotide ribosomal RNA is filed under the name uncultured bacterium. Its description in RNAcentral is "partial 16S ribosomal RNA". It matches the Rfam family "Bacterial small subunit ribosomal RNA", at positions 524 to 776 of the family's 1533-position model. The record is from RNAcentral.